CAAUAUCAAGAGAAAGAUAUUAAGAAGAAGAGGAUAAUCGCCCUUAAGUCUAUCACUCAACUCGAUGAGGAAUCGAAAGAAACUAAAAAUGAAGAGUAAGAUGAAGAAAUGGCCCUCAUCACUAGAAAGUUUAAAAGAUUCCUAAAGAAAAGAAGAUAAGGGAUGAGGAAGAGACCGCCUACAAAAGGAGAACAUAGCAA
This 200-nucleotide long non-coding RNA is filed under the name Elaeis guineensis (African oil palm). Its description in RNAcentral is "long non-coding RNA (EGUI_LNC038472)". The record is from RNAcentral. Lineage: Eukaryota; Viridiplantae; Streptophyta; Magnoliopsida; Arecales; Arecaceae.